This 220-nucleotide ribosomal RNA is filed under the name uncultured bacterium. Its description in RNAcentral is "partial 16S ribosomal RNA". It matches the Rfam family "Bacterial small subunit ribosomal RNA", at positions 57 to 305 of the family's 1533-position model. The record is from RNAcentral.
GCAAGUCGAACGAGAUCUUCGGAUCUAGUGGCGCACGGGUGCGUAACGCGUGGGAAUCUGCCCUUGGGUUCGGAAUAACAGUUAGAAAUGACUGCUAAUACCGGAUGAUGACGUAAGUCCAAAGAUUUAUCGCCCAAGGAUGAGCCCGCGUAGGAUUAGCUAGUUGGUGAGGUAAAGGCCUACCAAGGCUACGAUCCGUAGCGGGUCUGAGAGGAUGAUC